ACAGUUCUUCGGGGUCAGUGAAAAUCUGAACCGGCGGUUAUAGUCCGCGACCCGACUGGGAACAUCGCAACCAGCGAUGAGACUCCAGGCGGUUGACUUGGUGGAAAUCCAAGACCGACGGUUAAAGUCCGGAUGAGAGAAGAACUAG
RNAcentral lists this non-coding RNA (148 nucleotides) under Aquiluna. RNAcentral's name for it is "Candidatus Aquiluna FMN sequence". It matches the Rfam family "FMN riboswitch aptamer (RFN element)". From Rfam's summary of the family: The RFN element is a highly conserved domain that is found frequently in the 5'-untranslated regions of prokaryotic mRNAs that encode for flavin mononucleotide (FMN) biosynthesis and transport proteins. Lineage: Bacteria; Bacillati; Actinomycetota; Actinomycetes; Micrococcales; Microbacteriaceae. The record is from RNAcentral. RNAcentral also lists the same sequence under 1 other name.